GGUCAAGCUACUAAGGGCGCGCGGUGAAUGCCUUGGUAUCACGGGCCGAAGAAGGGCGUGGCAAGACUGCGAUAAGCCUCGGUCAGCCGUCUAACAGGCGUAGCCGGGGAUUCCCGAAUGAGGCAACUCACCUGGAGUCAUGUCCAGGUAUCGCGGAUCGAACACAUAGAUCCGAUGAGGGGAACCCAGGGAACUGAACCAUCUAAGUACCUGGAGGAAUAGAAAUCAUUCCGUUAGUAGCGGCGAGCGAACGCGGAACAGCCCAAACCGUCAAUGACCGAACGGCCGGCAGGCCUAUGCAUUGAGCGGGGUUAUACGACUGCGCAGUAGACUCUGCCGCGUCUGCAGGGAGUGACAAAGCACCGGCGUAACAGAAGGACCCUGGAACGGGCCACCACAGAGGGUGAGAGUCCCGUACGCAAAACGCUGGGUGCCUCCCGUGCAUGUUCGUGAGUACCACGGAACACGUGAAAUUCCGUGGGAAUUCAGGCGGACCACCGUCUAAGGCUAAAUACCCGUGAUGACCGAUAGUGAACAAGUACCGUGAGGGAAAGGUGAAAAGCACCCCGGGAGGGGAAUGAAAUAGUCCCUGAAACCGCGUGCCUACAAGCAGUCGAAGCACGACUUGUGCGUGUGACGGCGUGCCUAUUGAAGAAUGAGCCAACGAGUUACUUCUCAGUGGCAAGGUUAAGUCAGGGGACUGACGGAGCCGGAGCGAAAGCGAGUCUGAAUAGGGCGGCAAGUCGCUGGGAGUAGACCCGAAACCGGGUGAUCUAUCCAUGGCCAGGGUGAAGCGGGAGUGAUGUCUCGUGGAGGCCCGAACCUUCUAACGUUGCAAAGUUAUUGGAUGAGCUGUGGAUAGCGGAGAAAUUCCAAUCGAACCCGGAGAUAGCUGGUUCUCCUCGAAAUGCAUUUAGGUGCAGCCUCGAGUGAUUUUAUCCACCGGAGGUAGAGCUCUGAAUGGGCUAGGGGGUUAAUCGCCUACCAAACCCAAUCAAACUGCGAAUGCCGGUGGAAGAAACUCGGGAGUGAGUCCGCGGGAGCUAAGUUUCGCGGUCGAGAGGGAAACAACCCAGACCACCAGCUAAGGCCCCUAAGUUCUGGCUAAGUGUCAAAGGAUGUUGAGUUGCCCAGACAACCAGGAUGUUGGCUCAGAAGCAGCCACCAUUUAAAGAGUGCGUAAUAGCUCACUGGUCGAGUGGCUCUGCGCCGACAAUGUACCGGGGCUCAAGCCAGACGCCGAAGCUGUGGACUCUCCGCAAGGGGAGUGGUAGAGGAGCGUUGCGUUCAGCUGUGAAGGUGCAGGGGUGACCCGUGCUGGAGCGGACGCAAGUGAGAAUGUUGGCAUGAGUAGCGUAAUGGCGAUGAGAAUUCGCCACACCGUAAACCUAAGGUUUCCUACGGAAGGUUUAUCCGCGUAGGGUUAGUCGGGCCUAAGCCGAGGGCGAACGCCGUAGGCGAUGGACAGCAGGUUAGUAUUCCUGCACCACGUGCGUAGCGUUUUAAGGCACAGGGGGGACCCGGGAAGAUAGGUGGAGCGGACCCAUUGGACAUGGUCCGUCUCUGGAGCGUAGGCGUCUGGCGGCAGGUAAAUCCACUGCCAGGUCAAGCGGAGGCUCCGGGGGAAGCGGCGACUUCGGUCAAAGCGAUUCUGCUGAGUCUAUGCCGGCAAGAAAAGCCUCGGUGCUAGCGACGCAGGUGCCCGUACCGCAAACCGACACUGGUAGGUGGGGGUAAGUACCCCGAGGUGAUCGAGAGAACCUUCGUUAAGGAACUCGGCAAUUUAGCUCCGUAACUUCGGAAGAAGGAGCACCCCUGAGGGUGAGUGGACUUGCUCCACGAGCGCCCGGGGGUCGCAGCGAGCUGGCUCAGGCGACUGUUUAACAAAAACAUAGGUCUCUGCUAACCCGUAAGGGGAUGUAUAGGGGCUGACGCCUGCCCAGUGCUGGAAGGUUAAGGGGAGGGCUUCACGGCCUGAACCGAAGCCCCAGUGAACGGCGGCCGUAACUAUAACGGUCCUAAGGUUAACGAUUCGCUAGCCUUAGUAAAAUCUGGCUAUUUGCUGGAAACUCUGAGUAUCCCACGCUACGCGAGCGCAAGUUCGCGUGAAAAUGCGCUGGGUGCAGACAAUCAGCAGGAAAGGUCAGUAGGAGGUGACGCUUGGUUAA
RNAcentral lists this ribosomal RNA (2168 nucleotides) under Chloroflexota bacterium. Its description in RNAcentral is "23S ribosomal RNA". It matches the Rfam family "Bacterial large subunit ribosomal RNA", at positions 1 to 2016 of the family's 2925-position model. The record is from RNAcentral. Lineage: Bacteria; Bacillati; Chloroflexota.